Molecule: ribosomal RNA, 218 nt
Filed under: uncultured bacterium
Lineage: Bacteria
Description: partial 16S ribosomal RNA
Rfam family: Bacterial small subunit ribosomal RNA
Source: RNAcentral
ACUCCUACGGGAGGCAGCAGCAAGGAAUUUUCGUCAAUGGGGGGAACCCUGAACGAGCAACGCCGCGUGGGCGAAGAAGUCCUUCGGGAUGUAAAGCCCUUUUCUGUGGGAAGAAAGAAAGACGGUACCACAGGAAUAAGCAUCGGCUAACUACGUGCCAGCAGCCGCGGUAAUACGUAGGAUGCAAGCGUUGUCCGGAAUUAUUGGGCGUAAAGGGU